Molecule: ribosomal RNA, 156 nt
Filed under: uncultured bacterium
Lineage: Bacteria
Description: partial 16S ribosomal RNA
Rfam family: Bacterial small subunit ribosomal RNA
Source: RNAcentral
CAGCAGUGGGGAAUUUUGCGCAAUGGGCGAAAGCCUGACGCAGCAACGCCGCGUGGAGGAUGAAGGCCUUCGGGUCGUAAACUCCUGUCAGAGGGGACGAAGGCCGGGCAACCUGGUUUGACUGUACCCUUAGAGGAAGCCACGGCCAACUCCGUG